RNAcentral lists this long non-coding RNA (2563 nucleotides) under Corvus moneduloides (New Caledonian crow). Its description in RNAcentral is "lncRNA (ENSCMUG00000018038.1)". Lineage: Eukaryota; Metazoa; Chordata; Aves; Passeriformes; Corvidae. The record is from RNAcentral.
GUUUGGGAGCUGGAGGCACUGCUGCCCCCCUCUGCUGAAAGGACACAGGGGAACAUCUUCACUGCAAAGCCCAUGACAGCCUGGAGCUGCUGGGUCACUUGAUGUCCUGUGUGGGCCAGCCUUACACUGCCGUGCACUGCUGGGCACACAGCACAGCACGGAUGGGCUGGGUCUCUGUCAGACCUCUGUACCCAAACUCAGUGCACACAAACUACGAGUGUCUCUUCCUGCCUACACUGAUUUCCCACUGCCUUAGGCUGCUGAACAAGGCCGUGUGCAGAGAAGAACACAUUCUUUUCUCCAGCUUAGUCCACUUGGGUCCUGUUGCUCUUUUGCAGAGUGCUGCCACAAAGAGACAAGGAGAGUAUCAGUUCUUCCCUGGCAUGGAGAAGGGCAGUCUGUAGCAGCAUAUCCUGUGGGGCAUUCUCCUUCUCUUCAGAAAUCUCUCUGAGGUGCAGCCUCUGAAGGGGCAGUCCCAGUGCAGAGCCACAACCAGCCUUUUCUCUCCUUGAGACCCCCCUUUGGAGCUGGAGGAGUUACAGAACUAUUCUCUGUCUUGCUACAGGAGACACCAGGUUGACAGGUCACUAGCUUUUCCCAUACCUGGACAACAUCUCAGCUCUGCCUGGGACAAGCAGGGAUUCCACCUGGCAGCUCACAGGGCUGGAAGUCUGUGAGUGUGAGGGUGGCUGCAGAGGACACAAACUGGGGGACACAGACACGAAAACACAUUCCUGGGAUCUCCUUCUCUUCCCAUCCUUUUCUGCCAUUCUGUGCAUUCCUGUGCACACGCUCAGGCUGCCACACAGCCCCAUCAUGCUCCCUGAGAGCACUGAACUCUCCCACCUACUGAACUCCCACCUGCUCGUGCACACCCACGCUCACAGCCAGCAGGAAGCCAGAGGAGCAGAGCACAUGCACCUCAUGGCUGCCUGCAGGUGUCAUUCCCCACCGCUCCCGGACAGCCAACUGCCUUGUCACAUUUCAGACUCCCUCUCCCUCCCCUGCCCACCCACUGAGAGACGCAUCUCUUCCUCUCCUCCUCUCCUCUUUGCACAUCUCCGUGUCUGUGCUGUCACCAGGCCCAGGUUGCUGGAAGGAGGUGGCCUUUCUCUAUGGAUUUCCCCCGGUUCCUUGUGGCCAUCCUGCUGCCUGUGGGCUGGGCCCUUCAGCAAUCACCAGAUACAGUUGUCCGGGAGGGAGACCCUGUGACUCUGGAAUGUUCUGGAUCGGGGAGUGCAACGAGGCCCAUGUCCUGGUACAAGUUGCCCAUGGAGAAGGAUGCCAGCAUGCAGUUGGUUGUAUACUCAGUGGAAGGUGGCAAAGCAGAUAUUGAGAAGGAAUUCAGAAAUCGCUUCCAGAGUAAUGGGACUCGGAACAACCGUUUAUCUGUGAAGAUAGAUCAUGCCCUACUCAAUGACUCGGGCACAUAUUUCUGUGCUGAACAAGAUCCACAGUGACUCAAAGGCUGGUGCAGCACAGCACAAACCUUUCCAGGCAAACAGGGAUCUGCCACCAGCACACACUGAGCCCUGUGUUUGACCGAACGCCAUUUUCUUCACUUGCCCUCCAGCUCUUUCUGUAGAGACGAGGUUAUGCUUGUCUGUCUUUCUGUCUGUGCAUCUGUCUGUCUUCUUCAUGGUCUCUAGCAGCUUCUCUAUUCUCUCCCAUGUGGGUAUCACCUUUCUUCUUGUCCUCACUGUCUCACCUCAUUUCUCUGCCAUUCACAGAGAAAUACUCUGUCCCCCUGACCUUUCCUCUCCAUCCCCUGACGCCUUCCUAUUUCCUUCAUUCUCAUCCAUCUCUCCUUCCUUUCAGUCUGCUACCUCAGCUCAUGCAGAAGCACCAUGUGGAAUGCUUUGCACAGCGCCUUCCUUCUCCACCAGCAGGAAGGACAAGGCCAACUGGUCCUUGGCCCCACUGGUCUCCAGGCAAUGGGUACACUGCUGUGCAGCAGGGACCCCAAGUCACACCACUACCCUGGCAUCUGAAGACUCUGAUGUUUGAGAGCUGUCCCUGUGCACUGGAGGGACAGCCCAAGUUGGCCAUGGAAUGUCCCUGGUGACCAGGGCAAGGACUGGGAGGAAGAAGUCUGAGUGAACUCUUCAGCAGGGGUCGUUGGUGUUUGCCAGCAUCUUGUCUGGCCCAUCCACUACAUCCCCUGUUGCUUGCUGCAAGACACAAGGGCUGCCCUGACUUGUUUAUUCCUCUUUAUCUCCAGCAUAAAACAGAGUGCAAGGGCCCAGGGGAAUCUGAUGCUCACGGAAAUUUUCAUAAUCCGUCAAGAACAGAAGCUGGAAAUUCCUUACUGGAGUGUGAGGCACAGGCUUGGUCAGAGGUGCUGCAGCUCAGCCCAUAGCUGUGGGGACAGGGAGGUGCUGUCUGCUGCUCAAGUUGUUGUGGUUUAAGCCCAGUCAGCCACUCGGUGUCACAGACACUCACUCACCACCCCCUUCUCCUGCUGGGAUGGGAGAAAGGGUAAAACUUAUGGGUUGAGAUACAAACAGAGCAAGAAUAGGAGUAAAUAAAAAGGGAAAGAGAGAGAAAUAAAACUCAUCAAAAU